Long non-coding RNA from Talpa occidentalis (Iberian mole), 312 nucleotides. RefSeq lists it as uncharacterized. The record is from RefSeq and is a predicted model, not a curated record. Lineage: Eukaryota; Metazoa; Chordata; Mammalia; Eulipotyphla; Talpidae. The transcript has 3 exons.
CCUGGGAGUUAAGAGCUUUGAUUGAACUACUUCUGGGAGUUGAAUUUGCGUGGGACCAAGAAGAGAGUCUGUCACUUAGCUUGGAGAGUUCCAGAGACCUCCAGCAAAGUGCCUAGUCUAAUGACCAGCUAUGGGGUAAGUAAAAGGGAGAAGCAUCAGGCUUUUCCGCCCUCCUACCCUCAUGCACACUUGGCCAAGUGGUGUGGCGCGGCGUGGUGCCGAGGACCCAGGAGUGCAGUGGAGUGUGGAGGAGUGUGGCAGCCAACAGCAGAGAGCAUGAAAACACCAACACGGCUGCUUGAACGGGCAAUG